Camelus dromedarius (Arabian camel) is the source of this 408-nucleotide long non-coding RNA. RefSeq lists it as uncharacterized. The record is from RefSeq and is a predicted model, not a curated record. Lineage: Eukaryota; Metazoa; Chordata; Mammalia; Artiodactyla; Camelidae. The transcript has 3 exons.
CAUCUUGAAGAGGUUGCUGGGGCAGAAGAAGAACCAUCCUCCCCUCCUUCCCUCUACGGAGACAUUGUGAUGCCCAAACCUUCCAGCCUCCACCCUUCUACCGAGCCCGCAUCCAUCCGAAGAGUGCACUUUCUAGAGCAUCCGCAGCCAGGGUGGAUCUCGUGACGGGAAAUGGGAAGGACACCCAAGAAAGCAGGAUGCCUUGCAGUUCCGUGAACAACAGCAAGGUUCCCAUCAGACAGGCCGAACCACCUCACUGAGGAGGACAACCAAGUGAGCUCAUGGUUUCCAGUGGAGGCAGUCUGGGCUAGAAGAGACGAUCUCUCACCUAGAAGACAAGAUUGAGCAGCAAAGGUUUGACUGUGGGACUUGGGGGCCUGUCUCUGGCUAAUGGUGUAAAGAUUUAUG